RNAcentral lists this ribosomal RNA (461 nucleotides) under uncultured Rhodocyclaceae bacterium. RNAcentral describes it as "bacterial SSU rRNA". It matches the Rfam family "Bacterial small subunit ribosomal RNA", at positions 919 to 1382 of the family's 1533-position model. The record is from RNAcentral. Lineage: Bacteria; Pseudomonadati; Pseudomonadota; Betaproteobacteria; Rhodocyclales; Rhodocyclaceae.
ACCCGCACAAGCGGUGGAUGAUGUGGAUUAAUUCGAUGCAACGCGAAAACCUUACCUACCUGACAUGCCAGGAAUCCUGCAGAGAUGUGGGAGUGCUCGAAAGAGAACCUGGACACAGGUGCUGCAUGGCUGUCGUCAGCUCGUGUCGUGAGAUGUUGGGUUAAGUCCCGCAACGAGCGCAACCCUUGUCAUUAGUUGCCAUCAUUAAGUUGGGCACUCUAAUGAGACUGCCGGUGACAAACCGGAGGAAGGUGGGGAUGACGUCAAGUCCUCAUGGCCCUUAUGGGUAGGGCUUCACACGUCAUACAAUGGUCGGUACAAAGGGUUGCCAAGCCGCGAGGUGGAGCCAAUCCCAGAAAGCCGAUCGUAGUCCGGAUCGGAGUCUGCAACUCGACUCCGUGAAGUCGGAAUCGCUAGUAAUCGUGGAUCAGCAUGCCACGGUGAAUACGUUCCCGGGUCUU